Molecule: ribosomal RNA, 403 nt
Filed under: bacterium
Lineage: Bacteria
Description: partial 16S ribosomal RNA
Rfam family: Bacterial small subunit ribosomal RNA
Source: RNAcentral
UGGGGAAUAUUGCACAAUGGGGGAAACCCUGAUGCAGCGACGCCGCGUGAACGAAGAAGGUAUUCGUAUCGUAAAGUUCUGUCCUAUGGGAAGAUAAUGACAGUACCAUAGAAGAAAGCUCCGGCUAAAUACGUGCCAGCAGCCGCGGUAAUACGUAUGGAGCGAGCGUUGUCCGGAAUUAUUGGGCGUAAAGGGUACGCAGGCGGUUUAAUAAGUCGAAUGUUAAAGAUCGGGGCUCAACCCCGCAAAGCAUUGGAAACUGAUAAACAUGAGUAGUGGAGAGGAAAGUGGAAUUCCUAGUGUAGUGGUGAAAUACGUAGAUAUUAGGAGGAAUACCAGUAGCGAAGGCGACGUUCUGUACACAAACUGACGCUGAGGUACUAAAGCGUGGGGAGCAAACAGG